AGCUUUGCACAGUGGCAGUAUCCUAGCCAAAGAGGUUUAUCCAAGGUGGGAUUACUGCUAGUUGAAAACUGUAUAUUAUAUGUUAAAAGAGCAGAUUAGACAUGGUCUACCACACACAAACCCAGUAACUAUGUGAGGUGAUGGAUGUGUUAACUAACUUGAUUGUGGUAAUCAUUUCACAUGUAUUAAAACA
This is a small nuclear RNA of Vulpes vulpes (red fox), 193 nucleotides long. Its record names the gene U4. It matches the Rfam family "U4 spliceosomal RNA". Rfam says of the family: U4 small nuclear RNA (U4 snRNA) is a component of the major U2-dependent spliceosome. The structure of U4 snRNA from yeast and human has been reported. Lineage: Eukaryota; Metazoa; Chordata; Mammalia; Carnivora; Canidae. The record is from Ensembl.